Molecule: unclassified non-coding RNA, 1707 nt
Filed under: Hevea brasiliensis (rubber tree)
Lineage: Eukaryota; Viridiplantae; Streptophyta; Magnoliopsida; Malpighiales; Euphorbiaceae
Source: RNAcentral
UCUAACAAUAUUUCCCUCCAACCUGAUCCUUAUCCAUUACUCUCAACUACUUAUUCCUCCUCCUUCUCCUAUAAUAUGUAACAAUACCCUCCCCAAGAGAAUCUUCUUGUCCCCAAGAAGAUGAAAAUUCUGGAAAUUGAGCCAAAAGAAAAGAUUGAUCUUCCCAAGUUGCUUCUUCAGCUGGAAGAUGAAGCCACUUAAUAAGGCCUUGGAGAAUCUUUUGAUUGUCCCAGGUCACCACUCUAGUCCUCAACACUUUCUCAGGGGCUAUGAGUACUGUAUCAUCCUAAAAAAUUGGCAGGUCCCGUACUACUACUGCAUCAUUGCCCACUUUCCUUUUUAGUAAGGAAACAUGAAAAACAGGAUGGAUGGAGGCAUUGUCAGGCAAUUUCAGCUUGCAAGCUACUGCUCAAAUCUUUGCCACAAACUGAUAUGGGCCAAAAAAUCUUGCUGACAGCUUAAAAUUCUCCUUAUGGCCAAGGAAGUUUGCCUGAAAGGCUACAACUUGAGAUAUACCCAAUCCCCAACUUCAAAUUCCCUCUCAGAUCUCCCCUUAUUAGCAUAUUGUUUCAUUCUGUUCUAGGCCAGCACUAAAUUCUCUCUAAUGAGCUGAGACAACUGCUACCUUUCUUGCAAAAACUCUACAACAGAACCCACUGACACUUCAUUUGUUGGAAACAUGGCUAAAGAAGCAGGCUGGCAGCCAUAUAAAGCUUGGAAAGGGGACAUUUUCAACCCACUGUGGUGGCUAGUAUUAUACCACCACUCAGCUAGAGAAAGCCACUUGCACCAAGAAGAUGAUUUCUCAAAACACAAACACCUUAGAUACCCUUCCAAACUUUGAUUCAACCUCUCACUUUGACCAUCUGUCUGAGGGUGGUAGGCAGUAGAAUAAAGAGAGGGUACAUCCAAGCACUUUGAACAGCUCCUUCCAAAAAGAGUUGGGAAAAAUGUUGUCCCAAAAUUAUAUCUUUGCCUUUUGACUUGGGAAGCUGCUCCACAAAAUCCAUUGUAAUAUGCUGCCAUGCUUGUGAUGGCUUAGGGAGUGGUUGUAGCAAUCCUGGAGAAGCACAAUGCUCUACUUUACACCUUGCACACACAUCACAACUUCUAACCCAAUCCAUCACACUCUUCAUCAUUCCAGGCCAACGAAAGUGCCUAUGCAGCCUGACAUAGGUCCCAUUAAUUCCUGAAUGCCCUCCUAAACAGGAAUUAUGAUACAAGGCUAACAAAUAAUUCCUGAGGGUGCCUGUGCUGCCAAUAUACAAUUUGCCUUUGUAAAAGAGCAACCCAUCUUUAUAUGAAUACCCAGGAUGAGCUAUCUCAGCAAUAGAGCAGCAGGGAUCAAUAGAAUUGCAUGAUUAUGUGACCUGAAAGGAGGUAAAGACUUGGGAUCUUCAAAUACCCCUUUACACUUAUGUAAUAACAACUGCAAAUCUAGAGAAGAGGCUGCUGAAGACAGAAAAGAAUACCCAGCACCACCUGUUCCUUGCUCCAAUUGAAUACAAAAUAAUGGAGUCUGAAAAUCCUCUCCACUCUUAUGCAUUAACUGGUUAUAGCUAAGACAGUGUAGCACCUUAGACUUAAUGGCCACAUCCCCAAUACCCUUCAAUGAAAUAGGCUUUCCCUCAUAUUGGAAACUGAUUGUAGAAUGCUGGAAGUCAAAAAAAAUGGGAUUGAAAGUCUUUAACCAAUCCACUCCUAAUA